This 544-nucleotide ribosomal RNA is filed under the name uncultured bacterium. Its description in RNAcentral is "bacterial SSU rRNA". It matches the Rfam family "Archaeal small subunit ribosomal RNA", at positions 725 to 1267 of the family's 1478-position model. The record is from RNAcentral.
AGUGAAUAGAUACCCGGGUAGUCCCAGCCGUAAACGAUGCUCGCUAGGUGUCAGGCAUGGCGCGACCGUGUCUGGUGCCGCAGGGAAGCCGUGAAGCGAGCCACCUGGGAAGUACGGCCGCAAGGCUGAAACUUAAAGGAAUUGGCGGGGGAGCACAACAACGGGUGGAGCCUGCGGUUUAAUUGGACUCAACGCCGGACAACUCACCGGGGGCGACAGCAAUAUGUAGGCCAGGCUGAAGACCUUGCCUGAAUCGCUGAGAGGAGGUGCAUGGCCGUCGCCAGUUCGUACUGUGAAGCAUCCUGUUAAGUCAGGCAACGAGCGAGACCCGUGCCCACUGUUACCAGCAUGUCCUCCGGGACGAUGGGUACUCUGUGGGGACCGCCGAUGUUAAAUCGGAGGAAGGUGCGGGCCACGGUAGGUCAGUAUGCCCCGAAUCUCCCGGGCUACACGCGGGCUACAAUGGAUGGGACAAUGGGUCCCUCCCUGAAAACGGGCUGGUAAUCUCACAAACCCAUUCGUAGUUCGGAUCGAGGGCUGUAAC